RNAcentral lists this ribosomal RNA (253 nucleotides) under uncultured bacterium. RNAcentral's name for it is "partial 16S ribosomal RNA". It matches the Rfam family "Bacterial small subunit ribosomal RNA", at positions 524 to 776 of the family's 1533-position model. The record is from RNAcentral.
UACGGGGGGGGCAAGCGUUGUUCGGAAUUACUGGGCGUAAAGGGCUCGUAGGUGGCCAACUAAGUCAGACGUGAAAUCCCUCGGCUUAACCGGGGAACUGCGUCUGAUACUGGAUGGCUUGAGUUCGGGAGAGGGAUGCGGAAUUCCAGGUGUAGCGGUGAAAUGCGUAGAUAUCUGGAGGAACACCGGUGGCGAAGGCGGCAUCCUGGACCGACACUGACGCUGAGGAGCGAAAGCCAGGGGAGCAAACGGG